GCCUGAUCCAGCAAUGCCGCGUGUGUGAAGAAGGCCUUCGGGUUGUAAAGCACUUUUGUCAGGGAAGAAACGGCUCCGGCUAAUAUCCGGGGCUAAUGACGGUACCUGAAGAAUAAGCACCGGCUAACUACGUGCCAGCAGCCGCGGUAAUACGUAGGGUGCAAGCGUUAAUCGGAAUUACUGGGCGUAAAGCGUGCGCAGGCGGUUGUGUAAGUCAGAUGUGAAAUCCCCGGGCUCAACCUGGGAAUUGCAUUUGAGACUGCACGGCUAGAGUGUGUCAGAGGGGGGUAGAAUUCCACGUGUAGCAGUGAAAUGCGUAGAGAUGUGGAGGAAUACCGAUGGCGAAGGCAGCCCCCUGGGAUAACACUGACGCUCAUGCACGAAAGCGUGGGGAGCAAACAGGAUUAGAUACCCUGGUAGUCCACGCCCUAAACGAUGUCUACUAGUUGUCGGGUCUUAAUUGACUUGGUAACGCAGCUAACGCGUGAAGUAGACCGCC
This 499-nucleotide ribosomal RNA is filed under the name Herbaspirillum chlorophenolicum. RNAcentral describes it as "bacterial SSU rRNA". It matches the Rfam family "Bacterial small subunit ribosomal RNA", at positions 381 to 873 of the family's 1533-position model. The record is from RNAcentral. Lineage: Bacteria; Pseudomonadati; Pseudomonadota; Betaproteobacteria; Burkholderiales; Oxalobacteraceae.